RNAcentral lists this ribosomal RNA (467 nucleotides) under uncultured Opitutus sp. RNAcentral describes it as "bacterial SSU rRNA". It matches the Rfam family "Bacterial small subunit ribosomal RNA", at positions 337 to 797 of the family's 1533-position model. Lineage: Bacteria; Pseudomonadati; Verrucomicrobiota; Opitutia; Opitutales; Opitutaceae. The record is from RNAcentral.
UCCUACGGGUGGCAGCAGUUUCGAAUCAUUCACAAUGGGCGAAAGCCUGAUGGUGCGACGCCGCGUGAGGGAUGAAGGUCUUCGGAUUGUAAACCUCUGUCACCGGGGAAGAAACGCUUCAAGUAAACAGCUUGAAGCCUGACUUAACCCGGAGAGGAAGCAGUGGCUAACUCUGUGCCAGCAGCCGCGGUAAUACAGAGACUGCAAGCGUUAUUCGGAUUCACUGGGCGUAAAGGGUGCGCAGGCGGCCCUGUGUGUGAGGCGUGAAAGCCUGGAGCUUAACUCCAGAAUUGCACCUCAAACUACAAGGCUAGAGCAUUGGAGAGGGUAGCAGAAUUCAUGGUGUAGCAGUGAAAUGCGUAGAUAUCAUGAGGAAUACCAGAGGCGAAGGCGGCUACCUAGACAAUUGCUGACGCUCAGGCACGAAAGCGUGGGGAGCAAAAGGGAUUAGAUACCCCAGUAGUCUA